Long non-coding RNA from Hirundo rustica (Barn swallow), 1206 nucleotides. RefSeq lists it as uncharacterized. The record is from RefSeq and is a predicted model, not a curated record. The transcript is spliced from 3 exons. Lineage: Eukaryota; Metazoa; Chordata; Aves; Passeriformes; Hirundinidae.
GGAAGAAAAGCGGCUGCAGUUUGGCAGUGCCGGGCACGUGCUCGGGGCUGUGGCAGAAAGGGCCAAAACGUGGCCCAGUUUAAUCGCCGCUGGCAGCAGAGAAAGCAAGCCUGCAGCUCCUUACCAACUCUGAGCUGAGCCACCCUGGGUGAGACCGAGGGGUGGAAAAAAGGACAUCUACCAGCUUCCUCCAUCAGCACAGCUUUGCAUUUUCUUCAGCCUCAUACAGCCCGGGGCAUGCACGUGGCCCUUGAGGCCUGGGUGGAUUUAACCCUUCCCUAGAAACAUGAAACUCUAAAGCACAACUCUUCCUUGAGAGAAAGAAGAUGGAAAACACAGGGUACGUGGAACAGACAUCGAAUGAAGUCAGUUAGAUUAGAAGUGAAAGAACUAAUAAUAUUGGAAUUGGAUUGAAGAAGUAGACAUUUUUAACUGGACUUCUCUAAGGUAAACUAUGGAGAAAUGGACUGUUCUUUUUCGCAUCUUAGUGUUGUUGGGUAGAAUGCUAUUCUAAUCAAAAUUGAGGACUGAUGUAAUUGAGAUUUAUUUGGGAACUUUAAAGCCCUCGCUCCUGGGUCAAAAGGAGGUCUCAGCCUUUAAGAUGAAGAUGAUUUUAGACUAGAAGAAGUAUUCAUAAAUAGUACCCCAAAUACACUAAGAGGCCUUACUAAUAGAACAUCUCAGUCUGCAAAAACUCCAGGCAGUAGCAGAUGUGUGACAUUGGGAGCACUGGACUAUUUUGUCUUACGGCAAGCGUGACCUUAAAAACCCUAGAGAGACUUUUCUCCUAAAGUAAUGAUUUUCAGCUUCUGACUGAACUGCUUAUCACGCUGCUCUAGGAAUUUUCCCAGUGAGAUUGGACGCACUGCAUGUUUGAACACCCACACACAUGACAACGACUGGGAAUGAAGAAGAAAGAAGAAGGGAAAAUCUCCAUCCUGCUAAUUCUCCAUUUUUGAGCAGCUGCAGCCUCUCUUUGCCCACAAAAUUUCCCUGUUUUUUCCCCUGACCCUUCCUUUUACAAGGAUAUUUUAAACUUAAAAUAUAAACUGGGGGUUUAAAAUUCCUCUACACCACUUUCUUAGCUUUAGCAUUGAGAAAUUGGCUCGUAAAGUGUUUCUGUAAAUUCACUUCUACUUUGGAUCUCUGUGUCAUUUUCUUGUGAACAUGGACUUCUGAAGGAGGUUUUGGUUAGAUUUUAGGACU